Molecule: ribosomal RNA, 531 nt
Filed under: Triticum aestivum (bread wheat)
Lineage: Eukaryota; Viridiplantae; Streptophyta; Magnoliopsida; Poales; Poaceae
Description: partial small subunit ribosomal RNA
Source: RNAcentral
AUGACGCACGUCCUAGUUCAUCUAGUUGACGAGAUUGUCAUUCUGGGCCCCGUAUUUCUACACAAUAUGUACCCCUUUGAGAGGUUCAUGGGAGUCCUAAAGAAAUAUGUCCGUAACCGCGCUAGGCCAGAAGGAAGCAUCUCCAUGGGCCAUCAAACAGAGGAUGUCAUCGGGUUUUGUGUUGACUUCAUUCCUGGCCUUAAGAAGAUAGGUCUCCCUAAAUCGCGGUAUGAGGGGAGACUGACUGGAAAAGGCACGCUUGGAAGGGACUCAAUAAUAUGCAGGGACGGAUAUUCUUGGUCUCAAGCACACUACACAGUUCUACAGAACUCUACCUUGGUGACCCCGUAUGUCGAUGAACACAAGAACAGUCUACGCUCCAAACACCCGGAGCAGUGCGACGACUGGAUUACACGUGAACACAUCAGGACUUUUGGCCGUUGGUUGCAAACACAUCUCAUGGGUGACAAUGCUGUUUCUGAUGAGCUGUAUUCAUUGGCCAUGGGACCAUCUUCGACUUUAUUGACUUAA